CUCGGCUGCCCGGAGGGCUGUUUGGUAAUUUGAGCUCUGUUUUAUUGACAGCCGCAUUAUAAUCAGGUUUUUACGGAAGAAGAUUUUAGCUGGCAGGGGAAACUACAAAGGCAUGCUCCAACAUGUUAUUCGCAACUUUUGUGAGGAGAGGCUUACAUGCAGGAAUCAGCCUUACCGUGAACAGAGCAUUUGUUCGGACUGUUCUUUAUUAUGUUAUUGAUUAUCUAGUGCAGGAAGAAAGAAGAGAAAAAGAAACAAUUUGCAGUUCUCAGCUGUGAAGCCUUUUGUGUAGUGAGAUUAUAGUUUCUCAGCUGUGAGGUCCUUUGUGUAGUGAGAUCAUGAGACAUUUUUGCCACAGGAGGACACAUCAUCCCAGUGGCACCAGUCGGACUUGCUUCUCAUGCCAUUACUGGCUGAACCUGAGAUUUCUGGUCCACACUUCUCUGUGCUGACAAGGCCUCAGAAGGUUUCCUUUUGUCAGCUAUUUCCUGACCUUGUCUCCUGGAUUUUGAUGUGGUUCCCUGGGGCUUCUGGGACCAUGGCUGUGUGUUCGAGGGCAAUUAUGCUUGGCUCUUUGACAACUCCAGCCUUGACAAGGGGAGGACACUCUUCAAGGUCAGAGCAAUGGUCCACAGGUGAGGAGUAAGGACAUGGCCCAGCCUGGUGGACAGCAAGGUGCAGGCAGGGGAGAGUGGGAGCUCAUCUCCCUCGGUAGUAAGGAAGACCUAGAGGGCAGAACAACACAUUGAAGGAAGGAAGACCAGGGGCCCAGAACAGCAGAAGUGCCAGGAGGCCACAGUGAGGUGGAGAAUCUGCACAGGACCUUGGAAGGACACCCGCAUGAAAAGGAGGGGAGUCAGACCCUGGGAUGUCAGGAAAAGGGCAAGGAGGACACCCACAGGCCUAAGCCAAGGCUCGCCUGGUCUAGGAAGAAUGACUCCCAUCUGUGGAAGGGCAGACUCCUCCAGAUGAGGAGAUCUCUGCAGGCAAGACAGUCCUACCCAUAAUGCUUUACAAGCAGGUGACAUAAAAGGAGCAUCACUAAGGAAUGGUCACAAGCAAGACCCUGAAAGGGCCAGUGGGCCACGAGAAGCAAGGGAGCCGGCUCAGGAAGGUAGGAAGUUUGAGGCCCAAGGGGAAUCAAUGGGUGACAAAGUGGGCAGAGAGGUCCUGGCAGGAGGAAACCACAGUACCUGCAGUCUCUCCCUGGCCAGGGCUGGGACUGGGACUGGGACCAGGGCCACUCCAGGCUUGGGGGUGAGGAGCCUAGUCAAGGAGAGAAGCAGACAAAGGUACCUGUCCCUCCCUGUGGGGCAGAGGAACCUGCUGUAACUCCAGGGCUCCUGCCUGCCUUGUGCCUGCACCAGGCUGCUGGUGAACACCAGACUUGGUCUUUCUUGUGUCUUUUCUCUAGGUCUCCCCUCAGCUGCCUGGACUCCCCAUAGAGACAGCACGCUGGAGAUGUCUACAGCAGACAUUGGGUGGUGGAUUCAGUGUGUCAGGUAUUGCACAGUAACCACCACGUGCAUGCUCUAGCCCCAUGGUAAGUGUGAGGUGGCUCAGCCCUAGGGACAGUGGGGUGGCUUCUUGGCAUUUCCCACAGAGUGAGGACAGCCCCCUCUUUCACUGAAUGCACCCAAAUGGCGCUUGCUCAGCUGCACAACUGCCACUUUCUCCACUUACACACAACUUCUGGUCCUAUUCCAUGCACAGUGCUGACAUGGAAAAUCCACGAGGUGUUACAUUUUUGUAUUAAACAAUGAGCAUUAUCUUUAAUGUAUGGGCCUUUUACUAGGUAAGGAAACUCUGCAGAUGAAGCUUAAAAUAAAGGGUAAGUUUAUUACCCAUUUAGAACUAAUACAAAUAUAGAACAAUAUGGAUACCUUUUACUGCAAUAUGGUUAGGUUUACAUAUAUGCUUACCACCCUAAGAAAUAACAAGCAUGACAUCAGUGGUUGAUAAGUUUCUGAAGUCUUGUCCAGGGGCUCCCAACUUCUACCUUUUAAGUUUUGUGCAGGGUAGAUUUUUAGUUUCAGGAUUAAUGUUGAAGGUUUUUAGAGCAGGUUGUCCCUGAUCCCAGGCUGGCUUCCCAACUUCAUAUCCAUUUUGUUUGUUUUUAAGUUUUUAUUUUAAUACACACCCAUAUUUUAUAGUAAUUUAUUUACAUUACACAUUUUUAUAGAAACCUUAUAUUUUACAUAACAGCUGUUCUUCGUAUGGUUUGCCUUGCCUUUAGAGGGUUUUUAUUUGUCCAAGUCCAUAUGUUGUUUUUUUUUUUUGUUUUUAAGGGUUUGUUUUGUUUUGUUUUUAACUAAUGUUGUAUUCUUAAUUGAUUCUGACUUAGCAAACUGCAUUUCACAUACAGAACUCCCAUUGCUGGACAAGAGCCAAGCUACUUAUGUCAAGAUGACUGUAUUUGGGGCUAACAAAAUCCCUGUUUGGUAACAUUAUAUUUGAGAUCAUUUUGAUAGAAUGUAUACCUUUUUGUUCCAUUUUGGGCCCCAAAUUGGGGUCGGCUAUAUACUGAAAAUGCAUUUUUCAUAGCUUUAGUUUUUUUGAAUUCAGCAGAUUAAAAUGAUUGUAAAACAUAUGAUUAGAAUUUGGAUGCCAAUUGCUACCACGAUUGGGUGAAGAAGUAUGUUAAGGAAACUUUGAGUAAUAAUAGGGCUCCAUUCGAACAAAACUUUCCACCAAGAAUGCUGUGCAGUUUGGUUUUCUGGGGUUUUUUUUGUUUGUUUACCUUUCUUAAUAACUUUAACAGGUUUUGAUUAUUAUACAUUACCUGCACAACAGUUUUUAAGCAUUUGGAUUAUUUAGUGUGGCACAAAAUAAGCAAAAUCACAUCCACUAAUAGAUCAAAAAAGUAGAAAAACAUUAAUUAAUAUAAAAAUGCAUUAAAACCGAUUGAACCUGGCUAAGCAACACACAGGGACAAUGCAUCUACACAAACACAUUCUUGUCUGGCAUAAACUAUGGCAGUGUAAUUUUUACUGAUUAAAUUAAAGAACAUUGCUGAAUUGCAUAUUGUUUAUAAAGAUAUUUGUUUUGAAUUUGAAAAUUUUUAUUUUUCACACAUAUUUUACAUUUUUAUGUACUAAACAAUUCUUUGGUGCCAAUAGUUUUUCACUUGUUUUUUGCUUCUUGAAUACACAUUUAUGAUGGUUAUGGGGGUACAUAAUGAUUUCUUUUUUAAUGUCAAGCCCUACAGACACUAAUUAGAUGGGUACAGUAACUGAAUGAGCAAUGUCACAGGGUACCCCCAAUUUUUUUGUUCUAAAUACCCUCUUUUUGGGCCAUCUGCCUAGCUCUCACCCACCAUGCCUUGAUGGUAGUUAAAAUACAGAGUGCGGGAGGCUGCCCUGGUCUUAUUACACUGACCACCCGGAUUGUGAUCCUGAUCUUAUGGGCCAACUGCAUGGCUCUGUACCUCCCCUACACCAUGCCCCAUGCUUUGCAGGUGGCAUCCUUACAGAUGUUCAACCAAUUGCUGAUGGCCUUCUGACCCCUCAGGCUCUCUUAGCUCCACUCUGGGCCUUCAGACCUGAAUUGUGAAAGGCAAACCCAGAUUUCAGGCUGAUGCCAAAGCCCACAGAGUACUACACUUUGGCUUAUAUUGUUCCUUUUUCCUUGAAGGCAGCAAGUGUUGCGUGCCACUGUGGAAGGUGGAACUCAUUCAUUCUUAGAGCAAUUAGCUAGUGAGGUUUUCUGAACACAACCCAGUAACCUAGAAUUAUAUGUAACAUUUAAAUACCAAUAAGACUUCUUUGUGGGUGAUAAGAAUAUUUCUUCAUUUUUAUAAAGAUCUCACACGUUUCCAUUUUGUAGAUACCAUUUUGUGGAACAAGUUGUUUUGUCAACUAAAAAUUCCCAUAUAAAUUGUUCUUCCUCUUUUCAAGGAUUAGAACAUUCUUUUACUUCAAAUUGGAUAGAAGUGUCCUGUUCUGGGAUCCACAGACACGACCAAUUUUUAGAGCCAAGAUUAUUUUUUAUUUUAAUUACACUUACAUGGUAUGUACCAGUUGCUAAGUUAAAAUUCACCAAAACAAUACACAUAAAAUAAACAACAUAAACAUACAAUACAUUUUGGUCAUAGCAGCAAAGCCAUGGUGUACGUGAAGAAGGUGGUAUCAAUGCUGGCAAAGUGUUGUACAUUGUUUAUAAUUCUAGAAUGAAAUGUAAACAAUGAAUUUCUCCUUUAUGGGAAUCAAGGCCUGCACAAUAUACUUCAGUGAUGAAUGGAUAGUUUUAACAAUAGUAAGCCUGCACCUUAGCUCUGUGGAUGUUUGCAUGCCCACAAACAUUUGGAACUGGGCUGCAAACAGUGUGUAAGUGCCACAAACAGGAGUGAUGUAACUGGGAAAGGGCCAUUUGGGUGCAUAAACUGGAGGUUACCAUUAAUAUCCCCAGUGGAAGUGGAUUCUGCCCUAUGAGCACACCUGGGCAAUCAACAUGGAGCAGCUGACACACUGUGAAUCCAUGCCUCACUCAGCUUCCUUUGUGGCAUCUUCUCCAUGGAGCCAUACCCUUGAUGGAAAAUGCCAGAACUCCUGGAUCAGGAUGUGAAGAUCAACAUUUGAAAAGCCCAGGAGAACCCCAUGCCAACAACCCACAGACCUCCUGGGCCAUUACUUAGAGAGCAGGAGAAGACCUGUGCAGCCCAGAGCUGGCGGAAACAGAAGAGCAUGCUCAGUAGCAAGACAUCACCUUUGUUAUAGAAGGUUAAAAGAGCUUGAAGCAUGUAGCUCAGCAAGAAGGAAAGAGAGAGGACAGUAUGAUGAUCAGCGGAGCUCUGCUUCACCCAUCCUUGUGUGUCAUUUCUGGAGUUCUGAGCUUGUUGCCCCAGUUGGGGUACAGUGUGGAAGGUGUGAGAUAAUCCCAUGCUCCAGGGCUUUUACUUCAUGGGGCCAGGAAGGAAUUUCCACCCCCACCCCCCCUCAUGUUUACUGUAGGCUUCUGGGGUUUUUUUGCCUUCCUCUGAAGCAUUUGGAUGCUGGCCACAGCUGAGGCUGGGAUUUGACUGGGCUGCACGGAUGCUCCUACCAGGACUUAAGAGAUCCCAGAGGCUCCUGGCUUGACAGUCUUGGUCUUUUGCUCAAGGUCAUACUGAUUGCCAUAUUUGGGGUCAGGGUGGAAUUUUACCCCAUGGUCACAUUGGCAGGGACUGUGGGGGGGUUUGCCUUUCUCUGUAGCGUGGGCAUAGUCCUCUUCCUAGGAUCUCCUGGACAUAUUUUAACCAACUACUUCCCUGCUGUUACAGGGGCAGGGCACUGGCAGUACCAUCAUUCCCCCGGCUUUCACCUGUGGCACGUUAUAGGGAGCUCUUUCUGUUUGGAACAUUGUGCCUGGUAGUAUAUGGUAGGAUUUUUAGUGGGAGGGGUUUUAAGUUCCUUGGUUAUGAUGGUUUUUGGAUGCAGAAAACAUGACUGGAUAGCUCAGGAGACUCCUCCUGCUCCUAUGUUUUCAUGUUCCCACCCCAACAUGAAGAAAAGAUGAUCUGCUGUUUUUAAAUGUAUGAACUCCACAAUAAAAGGUCUGUUUUCUGUUCC
Long non-coding RNA from Alligator mississippiensis (American alligator), 5546 nucleotides. RefSeq lists it as uncharacterized. NCBI's taxonomy places the organism in Eukaryota, Metazoa, Chordata, Crocodylia, Alligatoridae. The record is from RefSeq and is a predicted model, not a curated record. The transcript is spliced from 3 exons.